This is a long non-coding RNA of Rhipicephalus sanguineus (brown dog tick), 1027 nucleotides long. RefSeq lists it as uncharacterized. The transcript is spliced from 3 exons. NCBI's taxonomy places the organism in Eukaryota, Metazoa, Arthropoda, Arachnida, Ixodida, Ixodidae. The record is from RefSeq and is a predicted model, not a curated record.
GGGUUACAACAUGCGACAAUUUUGACAUUGCCCGCUUCAAAAAUACCUCGGGAAAGCCACAUAUAAGUCGACUACCAGCGCGACUAGCGAAUAUACGGAGCAAGGAGCAACGUUGGCUGAUAAUUUCUACAUGUUCACGCAGUGAAGCUUUAGGAGAAAGAUAAACAGCUAUUGGUUGGUACGAUGAAUACGCUCGGUGUUUUCGUACUGGUUACUUCAGCAGCAUUUGGGAAAGGACUUCCAAGAAUCUACAAUGGUCCUUACAAAAGUGCGCAGCAACAAGGCUUACCCGGAAUACCGAUUCCAACGCUGCCCCCCAACGUUGGUAAUCCGCAAGGGGGGCUACCCGGAUUUGGAAACUCGCGACCGCAAUUUCCGUCAUUCAGUAUUCCAAGCGGGAUGCCCGGAACAAUGCCACCGUUGCCAUUUUCGACCGACGGCUGGGGAAAUAUUAACCAGCGUCCUGCAACGCCCCAAUGGCCAUCCUAUCAGCCUUUCUUGAACAACAACGGCCAACAAGGAGGUGAGGAGUCCCGGUUGCCAUGGUCACCUGCAUCUGGUAAUAACGGUAACAAUGCAAGGUGGCCAGGUAUGCGAAGCCCGCCGCCCUCCUUUCCUUGGAACAUGACACAAGUGAGGCUGAAUGGUCAAACCAGCUUCUCUUGGCCCCCGACACCAUAUUCCAGCAGAAACAAUGAUAGCAACCGAAAUGACAUGCUUGGUCUUGGAGACCCACCUUCUUCCCGGAAUGGUCAGGACACUGACAACCAGCGACCAAAUAUUUUUCGAUCGCCACCACCGUUUUUCAGGCGCACCGAUAGGAGCAGUCGAACCACGAUCAGGACGCCGCCUUCUUUCCAACUGGCGAACGGUGACCUAGACUACUAAGACGGACCAUCUGCAAUCAACGCGGAACUUCACGUUCCACUCGCAGUAAUGCUGAAGAAACUAAAGGAAGCCAGCGGGCGGCUACAGCCGCUACAAGACAGAGCUACAUUUCUCAUGCUAAUAAAAUACACGUCCUAUA